UCGCAGGCGGUUUCUUAAGUCUGAUGUGAAAGCCCCCGGCUCAACCGGGGAGGGUCAUUGGAAACUGGGGAACUUGAGUGCAGAAGAGGAGAGUGGAAUUCCACGUGUAGCGGUGAAAUGCGUAGAGAUGUGGAGGAACACCAGUGGCGAAGGCGACUCUCUGGUCUGUAACUGACGCUGAGGAGCGAAAGCGUGGGGAGCGAACAGGAUUAGAUACCCUGGUAGUCCACGCCGUAAACGAUGAGUGCUAAGUGUUAGGGGGUUUCCGCCCCUUAGUGCUGCAGCUAACGCAUUAAGCACUCCGCCUGGGGAGUACGGUCGCAAGACUGAAACUCAAAGGAAUUGACGGGGGCCCGCACAAGCGGUGGAGCAUGUGGUUUAAUUCGAAGCAACGCGAAGAACCUUACCAGGUCUUGACAUCCUCUGACAAUCCUAGAGAUAGGACGUCCCCUUCGGGGGCAGAGUGACAGGUGGUGCAUGGUUGUCGUCAGCUCGUGUCGUGAGAUGUUGGGUUAAGUCCCGCAACGAGCGCAACCCUUGAUCUUAGUUGCCAGCAUUCAGUUGGGCACUCUAAGGUGACUGCCGGUGACAAACCGGAGGAAGGUGGGGAUGACGUCAAAUCAUCAUGCCCCUUAUGACCUGGGCUACACACGUGCUACAAUGGACAGAACAAAGGGCAGCGAAACCGCGAGGUUAAGCCAAUCCCACAAAUCUGUUCUCAGUUCGGAUCGCAGUCUGCAACUCGACUGCGUGAAGCUGGAAUCGCUAGUAAUCGCGGAUCAGCAUGCCGCGGUGA
RNAcentral lists this ribosomal RNA (796 nucleotides) under Bacillus velezensis. RNAcentral describes it as "bacterial SSU rRNA". It matches the Rfam family "Bacterial small subunit ribosomal RNA", at positions 569 to 1365 of the family's 1533-position model. Lineage: Bacteria; Bacillati; Bacillota; Bacilli; Caryophanales; Bacillaceae. The record is from RNAcentral.